GAUUUCAUCCCCUUUCGUUGUGAGAUUAGUUUCUAGAUCUUAAUUUUUUCUUUGAAAAUUCUUGAUCUCUGCUGGGCUUUCUUAGAUUGCUCAUGUAUAUGAUUUUUGAUUGGUCUCUGUGUUUUGUUUCUUGGACUGAGCUUUGUAUUACGUAGAUUCCGAGCUCUGUAUGCUGAGGUUGGAUUGGUCUCUGGGAUUUGAUUGCAGUAGAUUACGAGCUGUGUUUUUUUGGUUUGCUGGGAUGUGAUUGCAGUAGAUUCAUGUUCCUUAUUAUGUGUUUGUUGGAUUUGCUGGGAUUUGAUUGCAGUAGAUUCAUGUUCUUUAUUAUUAUGAGUCUUUGUGGCAUGCUCUCUUACUUAGUUUUUUUUUUUUUUUUUCUUAUUCUGAGUUAUUGCUUGUUCUUAUUUUGUAUGUAGGCCUUUAGCUGAGAAGAGAGAUCAGAUAGAGCUCUUGCUUUUGCUUUGACAGAGGUAUCAAAACAUAACUGGACUUUAUCCAUUUCUUGUUCUGCCAACUGAAGAUGUGUCUUUUGUUUAUGAUUGUGGGGUUUUCGUUUGAUCAUUCUUGUGGUUUUAGUGUUAAUUAUGUGUUUAGUUUUGAUUAUGGGUGCUUUUAAAAUUGAUGCUUUGGUCGAUGAGAGUCUAUGAAAGUGAUAUUAGUCUAAAAUUGAUUUGGUCUUACAUUAUUUGUGUCUAAAAGUGAUGGACAAUGAUAAAGAAUGUCUUCCAAAUGGUGGUGGUGGUGGACCUAAUGGUGGACAAUCAUCAAGUGGGUCACAAUAUCCGCUUGUAAGUUCUUCUCAUUCAAAAAGAACUAGAAGAUCAAAAGCAUGGGACUACUUUACAAUAGGAAAAGAUGAGAAUGGUCAAGAGAGAGCAUAUUGUAAGAAAUGCCCCAAAAACUAUUUGUGGUUUAGAAAUUGUGGAACUUCUAACCUGAAACGUCACUCUGGGAAAUGCUCCCUUGGACUAGAUGGUGAAAGAAAAGAGAAGAAGAUUGAUGACAAAGUUGCUAGGGAAAAUUUAGUAGAGUAAUUAUCUGGCAUAACCUUCCUUUCCGUUCAGUUGAAUAUGAGGAACUCAGGGAUUAUUUUAGUUAUUUAAACCCGGAUUAUAAGUGUUAUACUAGGAACAUUGCUGCACCUGACGUGGUUAAAACUUGGGAGAAAGAGAAGCAAAAACUGAAGUCCGAGUUAGAAUAAAAUUCCUAGUAGGAUAUGUUUAACCUCUGACUGUUGGACUGCUUCUAUCUCAGGAGAUGGAUAUAUAGUCUUGACUGCAGAUUAUUUAGAUGAGAAGUAGGUAUUGCAUAGCAAAAUUUUGUCAUUUUGUGAUUUGCUUCCUCCAAACACCGAUGAUGUUUUAGCUAGUAAAAUUCAUGAAUGCUUGAAAGAGUGGGGAAUUGAGAAAAAAAGUGUUUACUUUGACAUUAGAUAAUGCCACAGCUAACGAUUGUAUAUUUUGAAGGAUAUGCUGAAUUUGGAUGAUAAUCUCUUGUGUAAAGGAGGAUUUCUUUCACGUGCGUCGCUGUGCUCACAUCUUAAACCUUAUAGUACAUGAUGGUUUAGAUUUUAUUAGUGGUGCAUUGUCUAAGAUUCGAGAUACUGUGAAGGAUUUCAAAGCUUCAACAGCUAGAAGGAUUGCACUCUCCGAUUGUAUAGAAGGUGAUGAAGAAUCUGUCUUCUCUUUGGAUGUUCAGCAUAGAUGGAAUUCAACUUAUUUAAUGCUUGAGAAAGCUUUAAAGUAUGAGCGUGCUUUAAAUAGGUUCAAAGUGGUUGAUAAAAGCUACAGAUAUUGUCCUUCGAGUCAAGAGUGGAAGAGGGCAAAGCUUAUCCACUAGAUUUUGAUGCCUUUUUACUGUAUUACCACUCUACUGUCUGGGACAAGUUACAAUACAUUUAACUUAUACUUUGGACAUAUUUGGAAGAUUCAAUGUUUGUUAAAAGUGAAUAGGAGCAAUGAAGAUAGCAUCAUUAGAGAGAUGAUUUCUAAGAUGAGAAUAAAGUUUGAUAAAUAUUGGGAGCAGUAUAGUGUUAUUCUAGCAUUGGGGGCUGUCUUAGAUCCUAGGAUGAAAUUUAGACUUUUGAAGCGUUGUUAUGAUGAUCUUGAUCCCUUCACUUCGAAAGAGAAGAUUAAACACCUUAAGGAUAAGCUUUAUAAGCUUUUUGAAGAGUAUAGGAAAAAGUAUUCUUUAACUCCUGUUGUGAGCUCAACAAGAGUAGAUUCUCGUGUUGCUAAAAGAGGAAGAGGGAACUUGGAUGUACAAGAUGUAAGUUUGUUGAGUUAUUUUAUUUAUGUUUGUUGAUUAUAUAAUCAUUCGUUUAAGUGUCAAAUAAUCUUUGAUCUCUUCUCUUUAAAUGAUACAUGAUCAAUUCGAUUUUUAUGAUGUUCUAGACUAUAUGGAAGAAGGAAAGUCAGCUUUGGAUAUGUAUUUAGAGGAUACAAAGUUAGAUAUAAAGAGUCAUCAUAAUUUGAAUGUUCUGCAGUAUUGGAAAGAAAACAUAUAUCGUUUUGGCGCUCUGACAUAUAUGGCAAUGGACGUUCUUAGCAUUCCUAUAACUAGUUAACUACAGUCGCUUCUGAAUCUUCGUUUAGUAUUGGUUCUCAGGUUAUAAGCAAGUAUCGAAGUAGAUUGUUGCCUAGUAAUGUCCAGGCUCUAUUGUGUACACGUUCGUGGAUACAUGGUUACCUACUUGAUGAUGAAGAUAAUGGCGAAUGUGAGAUGGUUAUUAUUUGAUCAAGUCCAAAUGAAUUAGAAGAAUCUGGAAGCAGCCAAAGAACUGAGAACCUUCAAUCCAAUCCAUAAUUUCAGGAGGAAGUUUAACAGUACCGAGCAACUUACGGAUAGUACAAUGGCAAGCACGUAA
This is a long non-coding RNA of Brassica oleracea var. oleracea, 2866 nucleotides long. RefSeq lists it as uncharacterized. The record is from RefSeq and is a predicted model, not a curated record. Lineage: Eukaryota; Viridiplantae; Streptophyta; Magnoliopsida; Brassicales; Brassicaceae. The transcript has 3 exons.